GACGAACGCUGGCGGCGUGCUUAACACAUGCAAGUCGAACGGAAAGGCCCUGCUUUUGUGGGGUGCUCGAGUGGCGAACGGGUGAGUAACACGUGAGUAACCUGCCCUUGACUUUGGGAUAACUUCAGGAAACUGGGGCUAAUACCGGAUAGGAGCUCCUGCUGCAUGGUGGGGGUUGGAAAGUUUCGGCGGUUGGGGAUGGACUCGCGGCUUAUCAGCUUGUUGGUGGGGUAGUGGCUUACCAAGGCUUUGACGGGUAGCCGGCCUGAGAGGGUGACCGGCCACAUUGGGACUGAGAUACGGCCCAGACUCCUACGGGAGGCAGCAGUGGGGAAUAUUGCACGAUGGGCGGAAGCCUGAUGCAGCAACGCCGCGUGCGGGAUGACGGCCUUCGGGUUGUAAACCGCCUUCGCCUGUGACGAAGCGUGAGUGACGGUAAUGGGUAAAGAAGCACCGGCUAACUACGUG
Molecule: ribosomal RNA, 468 nt
Filed under: uncultured bacterium
Lineage: Bacteria
Description: partial 16S ribosomal RNA
Rfam family: Bacterial small subunit ribosomal RNA
Source: RNAcentral